GGGGGGAAAACCCUGACCCAGCAACGCCGCGUGAAGGAAGAAGGCCUUCGGGUUGUAAACUUCUUUUACCAGGGACGAAGGACGUGACGGUACCUGGAGAAAAAGCAACGGCUAACUACGUGCC
RNAcentral lists this ribosomal RNA (124 nucleotides) under uncultured bacterium. Its description in RNAcentral is "partial 16S ribosomal RNA". It matches the Rfam family "Bacterial small subunit ribosomal RNA", at positions 373 to 509 of the family's 1533-position model. The record is from RNAcentral.